CGUCGCCUGUUUCCAAAAACAUCUCUUCUUGUUAGUUUUUGAAGUAUGGCCUGCCCGCUGACUUAAGUGUUGAAGGGCCGCGGUAUUUUGACCGUGCAAAGGUAGCAUAAUCAUUAGUUCUUUAAUUGUGAUCUGGAAUGAAUGGCUUGACGAGGCCCGAGCUGUCUUGGAUGUGAAUGUUUUAUUGAAUUUGGUCUUUGAGUUAAAAUUCUUAGAUGUUUUUAUGGGACGAGAAGACCCUAUAGAGUUUAACAUGUUGAUUUAUUUCGGUUUGUUGGUUUGUUUCUGUUUUAUGGUUAAGUGAAUCUUUUGUUUUGUUGGGGCGAUGAGAGGGAUUAUUUAACCCCUCUUGGUUUCGUUAUAUUGAUUUAUAGUUGCUGCAUCCAUUAUCGAUAGUCAGG
RNAcentral lists this ribosomal RNA (401 nucleotides) under Heterotermes indicola. RNAcentral's name for it is "partial 16S ribosomal RNA". Lineage: Eukaryota; Metazoa; Arthropoda; Insecta; Blattodea; Rhinotermitidae. The record is from RNAcentral.